Molecule: small nuclear RNA, 109 nt
Organism: Sorex fumeus (smoky shrew)
Lineage: Eukaryota; Metazoa; Chordata; Mammalia; Eulipotyphla; Soricidae
Source: RefSeq, a predicted model, not a curated record
UCGCUUUGGCAGCACAUAUACUAAAAAUUGUAACGAUACAGAGAAGAUUAGCAUGGGCUCUGCGCAGUGAAUACAUUGAGCAUAUUUAUGUUGGAUGUCAGAUAUAUUU